This 1988-nucleotide ribosomal RNA is filed under the name human gut metagenome. RNAcentral describes it as "bacterial LSU rRNA". It matches the Rfam family "Bacterial large subunit ribosomal RNA", at positions 1 to 1985 of the family's 2925-position model. The record is from RNAcentral.
AUAAGAUAUCAAGGGCAACAGGUGAAUGCCUUGGCGCUGAGAGGCGAUGAAAGACGCGGUAAGCUGCGAUAAGCAUCGGGGAGGAGCUAAACAUCCUACGAUCCGAUGAUUUCUGAAUGGGGAAACCCGAUGGGAGUCAUGUCCCAUCAUCCUGAGCUGAAUACAUAGGCCCAGAGAAGCCAACCCGGGGAAGUGAAACAUCUCAGUACCCGGAGGAAGAGAAAUCAAACGAGACUCCCAAAGUAGCGGCGAGCGAAAUGGGAAGAGCCCAAACCGGGUGGUUUCGACCAUUCGGGGUUGUAGGGCCGGCAUACGCGAUUCUGGAGUAGGCAGAGGAAGUGAGCUGGAAAGCUCCGCCACAGCGGGUGAUAGCCCCGUACUCGAAACCGAAAAGGACGCAGCCGGUACCUGAGUACUGCGAGGCACGUGAAACCUCGUGGGAAUCUAGGGGGACCAUCCUCUAAGGCUAAGUACUCCUCAGCGACCGAUAGUGAACUAGUACCGUGAGGGAAAGGUGAAAAGAACCCCUGUUAGGGGAGUGAAAUAGAAUCUGAAACCUGUUGCCUACAAGCUGCGAGAGCUACUUCGGUAGUGAUCGCGUGCCUUUUGUAUAAUGAGUCAGCGAGUUACUCUACCGUGCGAGGUUAAGCGAAAGCGUAGCCGUAGUGAAAGCGAGGCUUAAUAGGCCGACUAGUACGUUGGAGUAGACCCGAAACCGGGUGAUCUAUCCAUGAGCAGGUUGAAGCAAGGGUAAAGCCUUGUGGAGGACCGAACCGUCAACGGCUGAAAACGUUCCGGAUGACUUGUGGAUAGGGGUGAAAGGUCAAUCAAACCCGGUGAUAGCUGGUUCUCCCCGAAAUAUAUUGAGGUAUAGCCUCGGGAAUUGAUUAGCGGAGGUAAAGCACUGACAGAGCUAGGGGUCCUACCAGAUUACCAAACUCUAUCAAACUCAGAAUGCCGCUUAAUUGUAUCCCGGGAGUCAGACGGCGGGUGCGAAGGUUCGUCGUCAAAAGGGAAACAGCCCAGACCAACAGCUAAGGUCUCCAAAUCCAUGCUCAGUGGUGAAGGUAGUGGAACCGUUCAGACAGCCAGGACGUUGGCUUAGAAGCAGCCAUCGUUUAAAGAAAGCGUAAUAGCUCACUGGUCUAAUGGCUCUGCGCCGAAAAUGUAACGGGGCUAAGCAUGGUACCGAAGCUUUGGCAAUCUCCUUUGGAGAUUGGGUAGGGGAGCGUUCGCUGCGGGCUGAAGGUGUGCCGGAAGGCAUGCUGGACUGCAGUGAAGUGAUUAUGCUGACAUGAGUAACGAUAAAAUAUGUGAAAAACAUAUUCGCCGAAAACCCGAGGUUUCCUGGGUAAAGGUAAUCUUCCCAGGGUUAGUCGGAUCCUAAGGUGAGGGUGAAAGCCGUAACCGAUGGAAAACAGGUUAAUAUUCCUGUACUUGUUGUGUAGCGCGAUGGAGGGACGCAGGAAGAUAGGCGGGCCGGGUGUUGGAUAUCCCGGUGCAAGCGUGUAGGAAUAUCCGGUAGGCAAAUCCGCCGGACGAAUCUGAGACGCGAGUCCGUGGGCGCAAGCCCUGAAGCCGUUGAGUCUAUGCUGCCUAGAAAAGCUCCUAAGUUUAUCCACAGCAAUCCGUACCGCAAACCAACUCAGGUGGGUGGGAUGAACAAUCCAAGGCGCUCGAGAGAACUCUGGCCAAGGAACUCGGCAAAAUGACCCCGUAACUUCGGAAGAAGGGGUGCUCUCUAGGGUGACAUGUUUAACAUAUGAAGCCCCGGGGAGCCGCAGUGAAUUGGUGGUGGCGACUGUUUACUAAAAACAUAGGUCUGUGCGAAGUCCUAAAGACGACGUAUACGGACUGACGCCUGCCCGGUGCUGGAAGGUUAAAAGGAGGGGUCAGCGCAAGCAAAGCUCCGAAUUGAAGCCCCAGUAAACGGCGGCCGUAACUAUAACGGUCCUAAGGUAGCGAAAUUCCUUGUCGGGUAAGUUCCG